Macrobrachium nipponense is the source of this 701-nucleotide long non-coding RNA. RefSeq lists it as uncharacterized. The record is from RefSeq and is a predicted model, not a curated record. Lineage: Eukaryota; Metazoa; Arthropoda; Malacostraca; Decapoda; Palaemonidae. The transcript is spliced from 4 exons.
AAACAUAAUAUAUCGAAAGAGCCGUCAUUGUUCUCUCUGCACUGGACGUUGCUACCUCAUUGCUCAUUUGGUCUGUCUUAGGCUUAUAAGAAAAUGGUCUGCUUCCCUACGUCGAAAUGGUUUGUCGUGGCCAUGGUGGCAUUUGCGUCUUUCCAGACAGGGAACUGCCUGCAGUGUUAUGAAGGGAACCAGACGACAGUUACGAAUAUCACUUGUGAAGGUUCAUGCAGGAAUCUUACCAUAAGCGGAGGUGAAAUCGAAUCCGCGGAGUACAGCUGUUGCCCCGAACAGAGACCAACGAACUGCUCUUCUUCAGAGGAAGAUGAGGUCACAACCACCAUCUGCUUUUGCAAUGAGGACCUUUGUAACGGCUCAGGUGUGGCGACCAUUGUUCUCCCAUUCUUUCUGGGUUCACUUCUCUUCAAGAUGUUUCUCUAACCCCGUGUUGUAUAUCCAUAUGUAAACACGAAUUGAUUGUAAAUAUAUAUAUAUAUAUAUAUAUAUAUAUAUAUAUAUAUAUAAUAUAUACAUAUAUAUAUAUAUGUGUGUAAAUAUAUAUAUAUAAAUAUAUAUAUAUAUAUAUAUAUAUCUAUAUAGAUAUAUAUAUACAUAUAUAUAUAUAUAACAAAUUUACUCUCGGUUGAUAUCUUACAAGGUGAAAUUGUAAAAGAUGACGUGAAAAUAAAAAUGCAGGAGUUCCA